This is a long non-coding RNA of Magnolia sinica, 691 nucleotides long. RefSeq lists it as uncharacterized. The transcript has 2 exons. The record is from RefSeq and is a predicted model, not a curated record. NCBI's taxonomy places the organism in Eukaryota, Viridiplantae, Streptophyta, Magnoliopsida, Magnoliales, Magnoliaceae.
CAGGACGAAUUUCGUGUCUAAUGGCCAAAAUGUCUGCCAGUUGAUUCAAAUUGGACUUGGCAAGUUGGUUGAGAAGAGUCGGCAGUGGACCGCAUUUGCAAAAACUCCCUUCCGUGUAUUUUUGUCAAAUGGGUCCUAAAGUAUAUGCUUUUUCUAUGGUUUAUCCCAUGGCUGGGGCUGGAAGCCAUGGUUUUUUUUUUUUUGAAUGGUUCUUUUAGGAUUCUGGAGUUGGUGAAAUCAAAUGUGAUUGGUUUUGUAGAAGAGUUCUUUAAUAGUAGCCCUAGUCCUAAAGAAGAAUGUGUAGAUAGCCUAAAGGACAUAAGAUCCAUAAGCUUGAUUGGUGUCUCUUAUAAAAUCUCGGCGAAGAUAUUGGUCUCGAAGUUUUCAUUGAGUUCUUGGUCGUAACAUUUUCAAGGAACAAGGAGCCUUCAUUUGAGGGGAAAACAAAUUCUAAAUAGUGCCUUGAUUGUCAGCACUGGUGCCUGGUUGAAGGAAGGAAAAAAAGUAUAUUGAAAAGUCAUAGGACCACGUUGAAUGUGGUUCUCUGUGGGCUAUAUGUUAAUGUGGUCUUCUGUUGGCUAUAUGCUGAUGUGGUUCUCGGUUCUGUGGGCUAUAUGUUGAUGCGGUUUGGGUUUUGGCCUGAGGUUGAGAACUGGAUGCAAGUUUGCAUAAGACAGUUGGGUUUGUUAUU